RNAcentral lists this unclassified non-coding RNA (199 nucleotides) under uncultured Onygenales. RNAcentral's name for it is "sequence contains ITS1". The record is from RNAcentral. Lineage: Eukaryota; Fungi; Ascomycota; Eurotiomycetes; Onygenales.
CAGUGCCUGCGGGGCGUCGGGUCACACCGGCGCACCGCAAACUGGCCACCCGUGUCUACCUUACCUCUGUUGCUUUGGCGGGCCCGUCCACCACCGGACCGCCGGGGAAGCGUUCCAACGCGCCCCUGGCCGGUGCCCGCCAAGGGACCCUCAGAACUCCUGUGAAGCAGUGCCGUCUGAGUCGAUAUUUAAUCGAAUA